AUGGACUUCGGGCUCAGCUUGGUUUUCCUUGUCCUUAUUUUAAAAAGUGUACAGUGUGAGGUGCAGCUGGUGGAGUCUGGGGGAGGCUUAGUGCAGCCUGGAGAGUCCCUGAAACUCUCCUGUGAAUCCAAUGAAUACGAAUUCCCUUCCCAUGACAUGUCUUGGGUCCGCAAGACUCCGGAGAAGAGGCUGGAGUUGGUCGCAGCCAUUAAUAGUGAUGGUGGUAGCACCUACUAUCCAGACACCAUGGAGAGACGAUUCAUCAUCUCCAGAGACAAUACCAAGAAGACCCUGUACCUGCAAAUGAGCAGUCUGAGGUCUGAGGACACAGCCUUGUAUUACUGUGCAAGACA
This is a non-coding RNA of Mus musculus (house mouse), 353 nucleotides long. NCBI's taxonomy places the organism in Eukaryota, Metazoa, Chordata, Mammalia, Rodentia, Muridae. The record is from the annotation of a RefSeq genome assembly.